GACGAACGCUGGCGGCGUGCUUAACACAUGCAAGUCGAACGGUGAAGGGGCCUGCUUUUGUGGGCCCUGGAUGAGUGGCGAACGGGUGAGUAACACGUGAGUAACCUGCCCCCUUCUUCUGGAUAACCGCAUGAAAGUGUGGCUAAUACGGGAUAUUCUGGGUCUGUCGCAUGAUGGUCUGGGAAAGAUUGCGCCUUUGGGUGUUUUUGGUGGGGGAUGGGCUCGCGGCCUAUCAGCUUGUUGGUGGGGUGAUGGCCUACCAAGGCGGUGACGGGUAGCCGGCCUGAGAGGGUGGACGGUCACACUGGGACUGAGACACGGCCCAGACUCCUACGGGAGGCAGCAGUGGGGAAUAUUGCACAAGGGGCGCAAGCCUGAUGCAGCGACGCCGCGUGAGGGAUGGAGGCCUUCGGGUUGUAAACCUCUUUCGCCAGUGAAGCAGGCCUGCUCCUUGUGGGUGGGUUGACGGUAGCUGGAUAAGAAGCGCCGGCUAACUACGUG
RNAcentral lists this ribosomal RNA (501 nucleotides) under uncultured bacterium. RNAcentral's name for it is "partial 16S ribosomal RNA". It matches the Rfam family "Bacterial small subunit ribosomal RNA", at positions 28 to 507 of the family's 1533-position model. The record is from RNAcentral.